This 400-nucleotide ribosomal RNA is filed under the name uncultured bacterium. RNAcentral's name for it is "bacterial SSU rRNA". It matches the Rfam family "Bacterial small subunit ribosomal RNA", at positions 355 to 769 of the family's 1533-position model. The record is from RNAcentral.
UGGGGAAUUUUCCGCAAUGGGCGAAAGCCUGACGGAGCAAUACCGCGUGAGGGAGGAAGGCUCUUGGGUUGUAAACCUCUUUUCUUGGGGAAGAACAAAAUGACGGUACCCAAGGAAUCAGCAUCGGCUAACUCCGUGCCAGCAGCCGCGGUAAUACGGAGGAUGCAAGCGUUAUCCGGAAUGAUUGGGCGUAAAGCGUCCGCAGGUGGCGAUUCAAGUCGAUUGUCAAAGGUCGUGGCUCAACCACGAACAGGCAGUGGAAACUGAAUAGCUAGAGUGUGGUAGGGGUAGAGGGAAUUCCCGGUGUAGCGGUGAAAUGCGUAGAGAUCGGGAAGAACACCAGUGGCGAAAGCGCUCUACUAAGCCAUAACUGACACUCAGGGACGAAAGCUAGGGGAGC